UCUGGGAAACUGCCUGAUGGAGGGGGAUAACUACUGGAAACGGUAGCUAAUACCGCAUAACGUCGCAAGACCAAAGAGGGGGACCUUCGGGCCUCUUGCCAUCGGAUGUGCCCAGAUGGGAUUAGCUUGUUGGUGGGGUAACGGCUCACCUAGGCGACGAUCCCUAGCUGGUCUGAGAGGAUGACCAGCCACACUGGAACUGAGACACGGUCCAGACUCCUACGGGAGGCAGCAGUGGGGAAUAUUGCACAAUGGGCG
This 258-nucleotide ribosomal RNA is filed under the name Escherichia coli. RNAcentral's name for it is "partial 16S ribosomal RNA". It matches the Rfam family "Bacterial small subunit ribosomal RNA", at positions 116 to 377 of the family's 1533-position model. The record is from RNAcentral. Lineage: Bacteria; Pseudomonadati; Pseudomonadota; Gammaproteobacteria; Enterobacterales; Enterobacteriaceae.